UGGGGAAUAUUGGGCAAUGGGCGCAAGCCUGACCCAGCAACGCCGCGUGAGGGAAGAAGGUCUUCGGAUUGUAAACCUCUGUCCUUGGGGACGAAAAAAAUGACGGUACCCAAGGAGGAAGCUCCGGCUAACUACGUGCCAGCAGCCGCGGUAAUACGUAGGGAGCGAGCGUUGUCCGGAAUUACUGGGCGUAAAGGGUGCGUAGGCGGCGCUGCAAGUCAGAUGUGAAAUCCCCGGGNUUAACCCGGGGGUGCAUUUGAAACUGCAGUGCUUGAGUGCAGGAGAGGAAAGCGGAAUUCCGUAGUGUAGCGGUGAAAUGCGUAGAUAUUAGGAAGAACACCAGUGGCGAAGGCGGCUUUCUGGACUGUUACUGACGCUGAGGCACGAAAGCGUGGGGAG
This 399-nucleotide ribosomal RNA is filed under the name uncultured bacterium. RNAcentral's name for it is "bacterial SSU rRNA". It matches the Rfam family "Bacterial small subunit ribosomal RNA", at positions 355 to 768 of the family's 1533-position model. The record is from RNAcentral.